UGGGGGAUAUUGCACAAUGGGCGAAAGCCUGAUGCAGCGACGCCGCGUGGGGGAUGAAGGCCUUCGGGUUGUAAACUUCUUUUGCUCUGAACAAGGCGCACCAUGGGGUGUGUUGAGUGUAGGGGUUGAUUAGCGCCGGCUAACUACGUGCCAGCAGCCGCGGUAAUACGUAGGGCGCGAGCGUUGUCCGGAAUUAUUGGGCGUAAAGGGCUUGUAGGUGGCUGGUUGCGUCUGUCGUGAAAGCUCAUGGCUUAACUGUGGGUUUGCGGUGGGUACGGGCUGGCUUGAGUGCAGUAGGGGAGGCUGGAAUUCCUGGUGUAGCGGUGGAAUGCGCAGAUAUCAGGAGGAAUACCGGUGGCGAAGGCGGGUCUCCGGGCUGUUACUGACACUGAGGAGCGAAAGCAUGGGGAGCGAACAG
RNAcentral lists this ribosomal RNA (418 nucleotides) under bacterium. RNAcentral describes it as "partial 16S ribosomal RNA". It matches the Rfam family "Bacterial small subunit ribosomal RNA", at positions 355 to 775 of the family's 1533-position model. The record is from RNAcentral.